This is a long non-coding RNA of Neopsephotus bourkii (Bourke's parrot), 5068 nucleotides long. RefSeq lists it as uncharacterized. The record is from RefSeq and is a predicted model, not a curated record. NCBI's taxonomy places the organism in Eukaryota, Metazoa, Chordata, Aves, Psittaciformes, Psittacidae. The transcript has 2 exons.
GAUUUCCCCUCACAGGAAUACUGCCACAGUAGAGAAGUGGCACAUUUGUGUAUGAUCUGCUGUAGCACACCAAACUUAUAACCACACACUCCUGUAGGUAAGGACUUCUAAUGAACCAACAGGCUUCAUUAAGAUUCAAAGGUCUGAAGCAUUUAGAAGUACGUCUGGAUGGAAGCAUAAUACAGGAAGUAAACCACAUCUAAACUAGAUAGAUACUUGCUUUGACUUAUUCCAGCAGAUUUUAAAGAAUCAGAAUAAAUUAUAGUUGUUAAUACAAAUCUGAGAAGAUCCAUUCCUGCAACAUGAAACACACAUUUUCCCUCUGUAUCUCAGUGUUAUACUACAAUUGGGUUGCAAAACCAAGCUGAAAGUUUGGCAGGGGAGAAAAUAGGGCCUACUUUCAUCACUGUGGUUUUGCAGAGAUGUUGGCUGGGACAGCUUCUUCUCGUUGUAACUAGAACUGAGGGAGUCAAUAUAUCUGGCCCUAAGCAAUACAAAUAUACAGAAUGUCAGUGAUCCUUGAGUCUGCUUUUUUAAAGCAGCAUGCCUGAGCACUUUUCAGCAGAGUGGUUUCAUAGAUGGUGCAGAUCAGUUGCAGACAAAGUACUUCUUGUUGCCAUUUAUGGUUUUUAUCUGUCAUAAAUAUGUCACAGAAGUAACUCCUGAUUUCAGAACUUUCAUUCUUUGGAUUGGUGGUGACCACAUUAAAAAACAUUUUGUAUUCACUAGCUUCCACUUGGUGUUUUUUAACAUUUUCAUGUCCUAGUGCUGAAUACAAGCACGUAUUCAGUGCUCUUGAAGUUCAUUUUGGGAAUCCUCUAGCUCCUGAAGAGUGUUAUAUCUUGCUUCCUUCUGUCCACAGUAAAUACAGUUGAGGAUCGGGAGAGCCCUUUGCAGUGUGUGCUACUUCUUGCUACAGCUCAUAACAUUUGGAGUCUGAUAGAGAUGCUGUGAUAGCACCUUCAAUUAAAAGCCACAAGCCACAUAACAAAGAGAAUCCUUAAGACUGCUUAGCAUUAGGCCAUUGCCUUGACUAGAAUUACCAGAACAAGAAUAAAUUUGCUAUGUUAGUUUAAUUGUGAUCUGUUGCCCAUGAGACCUUAGACCUGGCAGAAAGCUUUAGGUAAAAUAUCAAGGGGCUUUUUCUGAGAUUGCUUUAAUAUUAUAUGUCUGUUAGAAAACACUAACACAAUUCUAUUCCAGUUUAAAAGCCUUAAGCUUUUGCUACCUGUUUUGGGCUUUCAUUACUUUUACAUGUAUACAGUUACACAGAUAAUGAGGAACUCGCAAAAUCUGCAUAUCACUGCAUGUAACAUCGCUCUGCAACUAUUUACCACCUCAUUAGUUUUUUCAAUAGCAGAGAUAAGUUAGCAUGCUGUCAUGAAAUCUGAACUGCUGUCACAUCCAGAUGAAGCUUAUAAACCACGGCAUAAUAACUUUCACAAAGUGCAUUAAAUCUUGCACCAGAAGAUGCAAUCUUGCAAACGCAAGAAAAAAAAAGAUGUAUUACUUUUUCUAUAUGUGAAGCAAAUUUGUAUGGUAUUUUCUCCUGUAAAUUUGCUGCUCUUGGAAAUCUUUUAAAACACAAAAGGAGAAAUUUAGGUUUUGUAUUAUUCUGCACAACUCAAAUCGACUGAGCUAGAUGAUCUCAUUUACAUUUGGACUGUGCUGUACACACCUAACUUUUUAAGAACGCAUGUUUUCUCAUUUUUGUUAAAGGUUCUGUCCUCACUAAAAAAUAAAAAAUAAAAAAAAAGAGGUUUGUUUUACAUCAAGAUUACUAUGGCGAGGUAUCUGUCUAAGUGUAAAAUCCUUGUGGAGACAAGCAGCAGGUAUUAGAUACCUUGAUGUAGCUGGUUGAGGUCAGCCCUAACAAUACAUCUGGGGUUCAUCUCAGCUGGCUAUGUACAGGUGAAACUACAAUAUCUUAUCAUUAGCAGGAUUUUAUACUGCACUACCGACUUCCGUGUAAAAUCAUGUUACACUGCCUUGCAAUGUAAAGAUGCCUUUGAGGAUAUGAAUUACAUGUGUACUUAUUCUAGGUCCUUUGACACUUCUAAAGUGAUGCAAAGUGAAUCUCUGCCCUACUGGCUGGCAAAACCAUACGAUUUGGUCCCAUAACUGAAUUAAAGUCCUUGCUAGGCUUUCACAUAUAUCCCUGGUGAUACUAGCAGUGAUACCCAUAAUAGUUCCUGCCAGGCUUGCGUUACUCUCUGGUAUAGUUCCAAUGCAUUUUCAUACCUUCUUCAAUGUUGGUGCUUCUGUUUUGCAAACUAUGCGUGAUAGCAUCAAAGACUGCAGCUGCAUACAGUGGUUAUAGCUGUCAUCCCCCCAAAGUGGAGUAAUAUGAAGCAUUAAAAAUCAAACACUAAUUCAACACAGGCCAUGAAGUCAUGGUAGUGAUAGUACAGAUGUGCCUAUAUUCAACUUUUGCUUCAGUAAACCACAGCAUUGUGGAGAAAACAUGAUCAAAAUAAAACAUUUAAUUCACACUCUACUCCAUGUUGACAAUAAAAGAGACAAAUAGGAACAAAUACCACUUACUUUGCAAGCAAGGUGAGCAGUCCUGAGCAUGACUUGCUUUCUUCAUUUUCUUUUUGUGCUGUAAUUUGAGUCUGCCCACUCUUGAGAACACACUUUUCAGUGUAUGUGAGCCACCUUGAUUAAAGCAUCUCCUGGAAUUAUCCAUUGGUGUGUCAACUGAAGGGUUACCAUUCCUUUAAAGCCACAUUUAAGAUGUACUGUUUAUUUUAGGUAAGCAAUCUGGGUAAAUGGUUGUUUUAUACUUCUUGAAAUGUUCCUCAUAUCCUGCAGAGAUGCUUCACCCAUCUAAGAAUCCCAUCAUUUUCAAUAUUCUUUUUGUUUCUUCUUAUUUUCCCCUACAAACUUACCUGCAAGACCACAUAUUUGAUUCAGUCAGUAGUUACUCAGUGGGAGACAUUUCCCGUUCACAUGUGAUACCUCCUGGCUGCUGCUUCCAAUUAUGCCAUAUGCUGGAAAGCGGAGCUGUUGAAGUAUUGGAGUUAAUGUUACAAACUAGUUAAGAGGGUAGCAGUGUGUCUCAUGAAGGGUUCUGGACAAUGUCUGAUUUCUGCCAUAAGCAAAACCUGACAAAUCCUGCUUUGUUUUGCUGCUUUUUCAGGUGGUAAAGAGCUAGAAAUACAUUCAUUAUAUUGUGAAAUCACAACCUUCGAGAUUUUGCUGAAUCUGCCCUACAGCUAUUUAUCACAUGAUUGCAGGGAAUGAAAAUAACAUUUUUCCUUCUACUUGGAAUAUGCUGCUAACCUUGAGGCAAGAUAGUGCAUAAUUUUAUGUGUGCCUAGUCUUGCUGUUAUAUAUAGACUGUUUGGGGAUGAAACAGUGUUAUCAUUUCCCAGAAUUUAACACUCAUGCUUUACCAGAGCCAAGAUUUCAUAUACUUAGGUUCUUGGCUGUGACAGUGACCAGGGAUCCCAAGUCUGAGUCACAUUUACCCUAAUAACCAUUUUAUAGCAUGGAAAAAGGGCAGGAAGAUGAUAAUUUCAUUUACUCCCAAGUUAAAUUUUUAUUGUUGAUGUUAGAGCUGCAUGUAGUAACCUCUGAGUAAAGGCUAUCUGAGCCCAAUUCUGAUUUCACAUACCUUAAUUUUGUAUUUGUGAAAUUGCAGCUAUUUCACUGAUAUUUUUGCUUGUAAUCAAGAGUUGAAUCUGUCUCCUCCUGUCUGUGCGAUAAUCCCUCUUUUUCUCCUCCCACAACAACAGGCAGCAGGAGACUCAGAGAUCUCUAAGACACUUUUUUUCCUUUCCUGAGGCACCAAUCCUUCUCUUGCAGCUUCUUGAGUAAUCUCUGUGUUUUUUUCAGUAUGAAGCAUUAAUUCAUUUUAAAUAGCAAGAAUUAGGGAAGCUGGAUCUUAGUCCCUCUCCACAGUUGCCAGAUUUAACCAUCACAUUAGCUGUCUGAUGCUUUUAUAAGCACAGCUCUACUGUCGCUGUAUACCUAGUGCGUAGCUCUGACUUCUUGGUUUACUUUGUCCACAGGGUGACCUGCAGCAAGUAGUUUUAAGCACAUUGAAAUAAUUUCUGUGUGGACACUUUCAUGGCGUACUUUUGAGCAACUUAUGCAGGUAGACAACAUUUCAUAGUAUUAUCUGAAGAUCAACAUUACUGGAAUGCAAUUUCCAAGCUUUAUAAAUUGUGUUUCAGUUUUUAAUAUCUGUGAUUCUUCAACAUCUUAAGAACAGCAGGGCAUCAUGAAAUUUAUAGAAAAAAAAAAAGAGGCAUAUGCUGAGGAAAACAGUUGAAUAUGCAAAUCAGAUGACAUCCACAGUUUUAAGGAAUAUAAUACUUCUGAGUGUAAUUGUUAGGAUUAUCUGUGACCUUAACAGGAACUUGUACAGUUAUAAAAUAGAUGUCAUUAUUUUCUGAGCACAGGGUACAAAAGAAUCACAUUUGUAGUUCAUGGAUCUGUAUUUUUUUGAGGUAGCUUAACAGAACGGUGGGAUUCAUUAUACAUAAUCCAAACCCACUGGAGCUUCAGAUUAUGCUGUUCCAACUUGCUGUCUGAGUUUUCUUAAGGGGAUUUCUAGUUGAUUAAAGCUUGAUAAAAACAAACAUCAGAAAGGGAGAAGUUUGUUUUUACUCUCUUCUGGAUCGCGGUAGUUGUAAAAAAAAAUAGGUAUGAAAGCAGCAAUCCUCUUUUGCAGGCUUAGCUGAUGCAAAAAACUAACGAUAAAUUCUGCAGGACAUACUUGGGCAAAACGCCCAUUUGUUUUAUUGAGAAUUUUGCCUGAUUAAGACCUGUUUUCCCCUUAUCUCUGAGUUUCUUGGACAAACUGUGUUGACUCUGAUCCAGUAAAGCAGAGCAAGCUUCUUAAUCUGGCACAUUAAAUAAAAGCUCAGCUGGGAAAGGAAUACAGUAUUUAGUCUUUGCAUUUCAAUUGAUUUGAAAAUUCUCAUUGUAAGCUUAGGCUGUGAGAAUCACCUGCAAGCAAUGUAACAUCAUUUACAAAGUCAGGUGAUAGAUGCUUGGAUUGAAUACAAGUGUAUGAUGGGACACCUCCUUCCUUUUAAUAAACACAAAAAUAAAUAAA